GCAUAUCAAUAAGCGGAGGAAAAGAAACCAACAGGGAUUGCCUUAGUAACGGCGAGUGAAGCGGCAAUAGCUCAAAUUUGAAAGCUGGCCCCUUCGGGGUCCGCGUUGUAAUUUGUAGAGGAUGAUUCGGCGAGGGCUCCCGUCUAAGUCCCUUGGAACAGGGCGUCAUAGAGGGUGAGAAUCCCGUAUGUGAUGGGCUGCCUUAGCCAUGUGAAUCUCCUUCGACGAGUCGAGUUGUUUGGGAAUGCAGCUCUAAAUGGGAGGUAAAUUUCUUCUAAAGCUAAAUACCGGCCAGAGACCGAUAGCGCACAAGUAGAGUGAUCGAAAGAUGAAAAGCACUUUGGAAAGAGAGUUAAAAAGUACGUGAAAUUGUUGAAAGGGAAGCGCUUGCAGCCAGACUUGUCCGCAGUUGCUCAGCUUGUCUCCUGACAGGCGUACUCUUCUGCGGCCAGGCCAGCAUCAGUUCGGGCGGUCGGAUAAAGACCUGGGGAAUGUAGCUCCUCUCGGGGAGUGUUAUAGCCCUGGGUGCAAUGCGGCCAGCCUGGACUGAGGAUCUCGCUUCGGCUAGGAUGCUGGCGUAAUGGCUGUAAGCGGCCCGUCUUGAAACACGGACC
This 614-nucleotide ribosomal RNA is filed under the name Neofusicoccum ribis. Its description in RNAcentral is "eukaryotic LSU rRNA". It matches the Rfam family "Eukaryotic large subunit ribosomal RNA", at positions 38 to 667 of the family's 3401-position model. Lineage: Eukaryota; Fungi; Ascomycota; Dothideomycetes; Botryosphaeriales; Botryosphaeriaceae. RNAcentral also lists the same sequence under 1 other name. The record is from RNAcentral.